GUGGAAACAGGUGCUAAUACCGCAUAACAGUGUUUAACACAUGUGAGAUGCUUGAAAGGUGCAAUUGCAUCACUAGUAGAUGGACCUGCGUUGUAUUAGCUAGUUGGUGGGGUAACGGCCCACCAAGGCGACGAUACAUAGCCGACCUGAGAGGGUGAUCGGCCACACUGGGANUGAGACACGGCCCAGACUCCUACGGGAGGCAGCAGUAGGGAAUCUUCGGCAAUGGGGGCAACCCUGACCGAGCAACGCCGCGUGAGAGAAGAAGGUUUUCGGAUCGUAAAGCUCUGUUGUAAGAGAAGAACGUGUGUGAGAGUGGAAAGUUCACACAGUGACGGUAACUACCAGAAAGGGACGGCUAACU
RNAcentral lists this ribosomal RNA (364 nucleotides) under uncultured bacterium. RNAcentral's name for it is "bacterial SSU rRNA". It matches the Rfam family "Bacterial small subunit ribosomal RNA", at positions 150 to 502 of the family's 1533-position model. The record is from RNAcentral.